This 309-nucleotide unclassified non-coding RNA is filed under the name plant metagenome. RNAcentral describes it as "partial contains 5.8S ribosomal RNA, internal transcribed spacer 2, and large subunit ribosomal RNA". The stretch from base 1 to 104 matches the Rfam family "5.8S ribosomal RNA", at positions 51 to 154 of the family's 154-position model. The record is from RNAcentral.
AAAUGCGAUAAGUAGUGUGAAUUGCAGAAUUCAGUGAAUCAUCGAAUCUUUGAACGCACAUUGCGCCCCUUGGUAUUCCAUGGGGCAUGCCUGUUCGAGCGUCAUUUGUACCCUCAAGCUCUGCUUGGUGUUGGGUGUUUGUCCCCGUCUCCGCGCGUGGACUCGCCCCAAAGUGAUUGGCAGCCCGCGUACUGGUCCCGGAGCGCAGCACAUGUCGCGCAAACGAGUGCCUUGGUACGGCGGCGUCCAUAAGCCCCUCUCUCACGCUCUUGACCUCGGAUCAGGUAGGGAUACCCGCUGAACUUAAGC